This 484-nucleotide ribosomal RNA is filed under the name uncultured bacterium. RNAcentral's name for it is "partial 16S ribosomal RNA". It matches the Rfam family "Bacterial small subunit ribosomal RNA", at positions 30 to 507 of the family's 1533-position model. The record is from RNAcentral.
AUUGAACGCUGGCGGCAGGCCUAGCACAUGCAAGUCGAGCGGAUGAAGGGAGCUUGCUCCUGGAUUCAGCGGCGGACGGGUGAGUAAUGCCUAGGAAUCUGCCUGGUAGUGGGGGAUAACGUCCGGAAACGGGCGCUAAUACCGCAUACGUCCUGAGGGAGAAAGUGGGGGAUCUUCGGACCUCACGCUAUCAGAUGAGCCUAGGUCGGAUUAGCUAGUUGGUGGGGUAAAGGCCUACCAAGGCGACGAUCCGUAACUGGUCUGAGAGGAUGAUCAGUCACACUGGAACUGAGACACGGUCCAGACUCCUACGGGAGGCAGCAGUGGGGAAUAUUGGACAAUGGGCGAAAGCCUGAUCCAGCCAUGCCGCGUGUGUGAAGAAGGUCUUCGGAUUGUAAAGCACUUUAAGUUGGGAGGAAGGGCAGUAAGUUAAUACCUUGCUGUUUUGACGUUACCAACAGAAUAAGCGCCGGCUAACUUCGUG